AACGCACAUUGCGCCCGCCAGCAUUCUGGCGGGCAUGCCUGUUCGAGCGUCAUUUCAACCCUCAGGCCCUGCCUGGUGUUGGAGGACUGCGCAUGCAGCCUCCCAAAGACAGCGGCGGCGGCGCCCCAAAACCGAACGCAGUAGUUACUUCUCGUUCUGGGUCUGGGUCGUUGUCCUGCCGGAAAACCCCCCUUCUUUUACAUGGUUGACCUCGAAUCAGGUAGGAAUACCCGCUGAACUUAA
RNAcentral lists this unclassified non-coding RNA (243 nucleotides) under uncultured fungus. RNAcentral's name for it is "sequence contains ITS2". The record is from RNAcentral. Lineage: Eukaryota; Fungi.